Drosophila ananassae is the source of this 3371-nucleotide long non-coding RNA. RefSeq lists it as uncharacterized. NCBI's taxonomy places the organism in Eukaryota, Metazoa, Arthropoda, Insecta, Diptera, Drosophilidae. The record is from RefSeq and is a predicted model, not a curated record. The transcript has 7 exons.
GCAUUAUUACUUUGCAGCUCCGUGACAUCGUACGUUUUCUCUAAAAUAUUGUGGCAUGUGAAAAAUUGUGAAAAAGUUAUUGUGAAAAAGUUGUGAAAAAUUUCUUAAAUUUAAUAAAUUUUGUGAAAGAAACUAGGAAAGGUGCUCCACCAGGCCACUGAAGAACACUUGAACGUGUGAAAUCCUGGCGAAUGCUGGUGCAUCCGCGGAAGCUUACCUGUGCAGAGGCGUGGCAGCUUGACAAUUCAUUUGCAUUUCAAACGUCGCCAAUUGUGGCGCACAUAACCCAUGCAUGCAUGUGUGUGUGUGUGCCUCCCCUGCAGUACCAAAAAAUCACUAAGGAAAAUAUUCCUCAACGAUAGAGAGGGACACACUGAGAAAAGAGUGAGAUGCAACGUCUUUAAAAACAAUAGAAAAUGCAAAGACAGUCGAUGAGAGAAAAAAAUUCUCUCAGCAAAGUAAGUGAGCGGAGAGGGAGAGUAUGAUCACAUAUUCUUGGGUUUCUAAAUAUUUUUCGCGUGAAACUUUAACCCAAUGGUUCAAUGGUUAAGAUGUCUGCCUGUUAAUCCUAGAUCGUUGGUUCGAUUCCCACCGGAAGACUAUGAAUAUUAUGAGUUUUCUUUAUGUUUACUUUUAUUUAUUUUUUAAUAUCGCAACCUCAAUAUAAAAUUUUACAUUUAUUCUUUUUUUUAAAUGGGGAUUUAAAAAAUAAUUGAGAUUGAUUGAUAUAUACACCUUUGUAGAGUCAUAUUAUUGUCAAUCGCAGUCUACGCGCGAUUCCUUGAUAGCUUAGAGGCUUGCAUGUUGGUCUAUUAAACAAAAGCACGGAGGUUCGAAUCCCAGUCCAGGCGAAAGUAAGUAAAAAUAAUACAAUGUAGUUUAUGAUAUUUGUAAAAUGUUUCUUAACAUUUAAACUCGUUUACGAUUUGCGAAAACAAAUUAAUACAUAAAAACAUUGGUGUGGUGGGUUUCUAAAAAUAGACAAUGAUUUUUUUUCAAAAUGUCUUUCCAGGGAUUUUUUUGCAAAAAAUGACCAAGGAGUUCUUUGAUGAGUUCUUUGCAAAGAAUACCAAAUACCUUCCCUAGGAUUUCUUUGCAGGUAUUCCUGGGGAAAUUCCCUAACCAGUUAGGGAGAAAAUUCCCCAGGUCACCGAUGCAUAGGACAUCCCAUACAAAAAUUCCUUAACGAAUUUCAUAUACCAGCACUGGGGAAUUCCUAAUGCAUGGUGAGCAGGUAAUGGAGAGUUCCACAAGGAACUCCUCAACACUGGAACUGCAGGGUCAUUAUGCGUUGCAAUUAUGAUGUUGCAACUACAAGGAUGGCAACAACAACAGUUACUGGAAAAACGAGCCACGAGAAGGAGAACAAGAACGCCAGCGAAUUGCAGGCUGCACUUCAGGCAGCAAGUUGCAACAUCGUUGUUGCACCGCUGCAGUCUCAACAAGCAGAGCAAAAAGUAUGUUGACAACCCCGUGUACAACGAAAAAAAAAAUGGAGGUGUCAUUAAUGGAAAUCGACUAAUGUUAUGCCCUAUAAAUUAAUCUCUUGACAUAAGAUUUUAUGAUCCCCUUCUAGGGUAUGACAACUACGAGAGUAACGAGAUUAACAAGCUGCAACUACUAGGCGAGGCAACCAGUCAGACCAGGCGAGGAAAAUCUAGAGUCGAGGCAGGAGACUUGGAUUGACAAGCGACCCAGGCGCAUUAUAAAACUUGAGUACCAUGGACCACCCUGCAAUUGAAAUCGGCUCAAUUGUGUGUAGGCUCCACGGUUCAGCAACAUCAGGGAAUCCGAUUCCGAUCAGAUGGAGUCCCACAUCCAUGUCCAAUCAUCCACUGAAAAUGGGGGGCGGCCCCGGAAGCUGUUCGCUUUUUCAUUUGUGGCAAGAAAAAAUGGCGUUUGUGGCUUGGGCCUGGUCUAACACCCAGCACUCAAGCCAAAACCGCAAAAACAACAAGGCAUUUGAUGGUCAAAUAUACCUCUACCGCAUACAACUGCCAUGAAUCACCAUCACCUGGCUGAAUGGAACGGAACGGAUCGGAUGGGAUCAGUGGUGUUCUGGUUUGGGUAGUGGCUUCGCCUCCGGCAGAGGAGGAACAUCCAUCAAUGUGCCGUUGACAUUUGCUUGGACCGCUGACAAGAAUUGUCACAAUAAACAAUACAACCACGACGACAACGACAACAACAAGAAUAAUUCAGGCAGCGAAGAGGACACGUGACGUGAUCUGGAAGGGAGACCAAGUUCGGGAUGGGAUUCGGAAAACAGGAGUUGGUAAAGGAAUCAGCCUGAUGAUUAGUUCGAUUCUUUAAGGAUUCGCGGAUUCUUCAAGGAAUUAUUCAAUGAUGUUGGGAAGUAUAUUUUAUUAAAUAUUCUUUAAAUGCUUUCACUAAAAUAUUCUUAAAAGGAGAUCAUAUAUGCGUAGAGUAGUUUUUAGAAUAAGCUUUAGUCUUUUCAGAAAUUAAAAGCAAGGAUUUAAGUGGGUAAGUUGGAAAAAUGUUUAUAAAAUAUAUCCAUCGAGUAGUAAGGCCAUUUAAUAACAAAUGAAAGUGUUUUUUAUUUACAAUUUUAGUUCCAACUAUUUUUAAUGAACGUUCACCUUUGGUUAUUUAGUUUUCCUCUCUCGAGUCUUUUGUAUGUAAAUGCAUGUUUUCAUUUGAUUGACUCACUUUUGUGAGUUGCCUGUCCAGGUUGCAGAUACUCUAACCCCUCCCCACCUGCCAGCCUGCCCCACCCCGGUGUGGCCAGUGCAAACAAAUCAACGACUUAAACCACUUGUCAACAUGCGAGUUGCAAAGUAUUUAAACAAAGCGUUGACAAGUGAAUGAAUGGCCAUUGGAUUGGUCGCCAGGCUGCGACUCUGAAACUGCCUGAAAGUCAAGUGCUGUUGUGGCUGGUCAGUUUCAUUUACGCGCUCAAAUAUUUGUCUACAGAAUGCCUCAGCGCAAGUGCUGAUCUCUUGUGCACACGAAUUUUUCCAAAGAGACGAUCUCGCCGUUUGAUGUGGGCGGCAGCAUUGACAAUCGAUUAGGUUCCCCCCAGCCAGCUACUGGCAGCAAAAAAAUUUAAAUAAUAAUACAGAAACACACCAGCAAGUAAACAAAUAAGAAACACCGAAAAGGUGUUGACAUGACGAGAAGUUCGGAACUGAUCUCCUGGGUGCGGCAUCGUGUGUGGGCGCCGCCUGCUGAUUUUUGGCACCUUUUUUGGGGCACGAACGGGGGCGGAGUGUUUGUCGUUUGACAAUUAGCAUAUUAGCGCGUUGGCUUCACUCGGGCGCCACUACUUAUAAAUUCAUCAUAUCCUUUAAAAAUUCAGUGGAGUCUUUUUUUAAAUUACGAAAAUGUGAAGAAAUGGCACUAAUGGCCACAUA